GAGGGUAUAGCUCAGGUGGUAAAGCACAUGCUUAGCACGCACGAGGUUCUGGGUUCAAUCCCCAGUACUUCCU
Molecule: transfer RNA, 73 nt
Organism: Camelus ferus (Wild Bactrian camel)
Lineage: Eukaryota; Metazoa; Chordata; Mammalia; Artiodactyla; Camelidae
Rfam family: tRNA
About the family: Transfer RNA (tRNA) molecules are approximately 80 nucleotides in length.
Source: Rfam